CAUGUUAUUACAUACAAGGUGCAUAGAUCAACACUAGAUAUAGCUGAGAUUAAUUAGAUCCCUCCUUGGAACUAAGAUGGUUGCUAGGCAAGUAGCAGCUAGCUAGCGGAUCCAAUUAUGUUUCUUGCCUGCUUCACAAGAGGUAGGUAUAUAUAGACAAGGUGCAUAAACCUGCUGCAGCAAACCUCUAUGGAAAUCAAACACGAACUCUAUAGACAAAUUGGUUUCCACAUGGAGUCACUGGUGAGAUCGAUGAUUGAGCAAAAAGGGUCGAUAGAUUAUUCACUAUUUGGCUUAUUUGCGCUAUUGCUAGCUUUCGGGUAAAAAUAGUCAACCUUCUUGUUGCUUGCGAGCGAGGUAUACGUCUCACGAGGAUUGGUCAAUGAUCAUUAAUACAGCGAGGAUGCAUGGUUAAUUCAUAUAUACUUGAUCAGGUGCAAGUAUAUAUAUAUAAAUAUUGGAAGUUUCUGAUUCUAAUCAACUAGGUUUCCAAUUCCAACGCUUGGCCGGGGUACCCUUAAUUUCUGUCAUGAUUCACAGCAACUGCUUUAAGAUAUUGCCUGGAAAUGUUCAAAUAUAAUUGGAGUAUUUUCAUGCUGUUUCUCUGCUGGUUAUUAGGGGAACAAGAUGGCUCCAGGGUGUUAAGCGAUCUACCGAAUCAUUGGGAUGCAAAAAUGAAUCUGUAUGGGAGCAUUACGCCUUUGAGGGAAGGACUCGCGUGAGCAGUGCUGAACAAAGUGGAAGCAAGAAUAUAUGCUUGAGUAACGCAAAUGUUGGUGAGAAUCCAAUUCCUCGAAAGCCCAAGGGUUCCUCCACAAGAUUUGUCCACAAAAGGCGAGUCAGGGCUUAAGAAGUUGAAGGGCAUAGUCAAUGGACAACAAGUGAAUAUUCUUGUACUACCCUUUGUUGGUCCCAAAGGAUGGAGGAGGCUAAGUUAGCCGAAAGAUGAUUAUUGAUUCAAGGACGCAAGAUGCCCUUGCCUUUUCAGGGUAAUAAGGGGUAAAGAAAAUGCCUCAAGCCAAAGUUCGAGUACCAAGUGCUACAACGCUGAAGUAAUCCAUGGAAUACUCCCAGGAAAAAAUCGAAUGACCUUUAAUGCUAUAUACUCCUAUGAUAAUACAAAUUCUACUAAGUCAAGGUUUUUUGACAUAAAAUAUUUGAUUGUGUAAGAAAGAACUUAGGAAAACAAUAUCUAUAUAUAAAAGAUAUAGGAACAAACAUAUAUGUUAGCCGACUCACUAACUAAGUGUUUAUCACUUAAGAUAUUCAAUGAGUAUGCUUCUCAUAUGAGUGUUUUCUAUAAGGUUGUCUUAGUUUAGUGAGAGUCUUACUUUAUAUUUCAUGUUUAGUACAAACUAUGUGCUAUUUUUUAAUUGCUUGCAAAAAUAAAGAA
Long non-coding RNA from Glycine soja, 1393 nucleotides. RefSeq lists it as uncharacterized. NCBI's taxonomy places the organism in Eukaryota, Viridiplantae, Streptophyta, Magnoliopsida, Fabales, Fabaceae. The transcript is spliced from 4 exons. The record is from RefSeq and is a predicted model, not a curated record.